AGUUGAACGUGAUUUGCUGGGUGCUUGCACCGAGCAAUGAAAGUAGCGCACUGGUGAGUAACACGUGGGAACGUACCUUUUGGUGGGGAACAACAGUUGGAAACGACUGCUAAUACCGCAUAAGCCCUGAGGGGGAAAGAUUUAUCGCCGAAAGAACGGCCCGCGGAAGAUUAGGUAGUUGGUGGGGUAACGGCCUACCAAGCCGACGAUCUAUAGCUGGUCUGAGAGGACGAUCAGCCACAUUGGAACUGAGACACGGUCCAAACUCCUACGGGAGGCAGCAGUGAGGAAUAUUGGGCAAUGGAGGCAACUCUGACCCAGCCAUGCCGCGUGAGUGAAGAAGGUUUUCGGAUUGUAAAGCUCUUUCGGGUGUGACGAUGAUGACGGUAGCACCUAAAGAAGCCCCGGCUAACUUCGUGCCAGCAGCCGCGGUAAUACGAAGGGGGCAAGCGUUGUUCGGAAUUACUGGGCGUAAAGGGAGUGUAGGCGGUUAUGUAAGAUAGUGGUGAAAUCCCAGAGCUUAACUUUGGAAUUGCCAUUAUGACUAUGUGGCUAGAAUUACAGAGAGGAUAGUGGAAUACCCAGUGUAGAGGUGAAAUUCGUAGAUAUUGGGUAGAACACCAGUGGCGAAGGCGACUGUCUGGCUGUAUAUUGACGCUGAGGCUCGAAAGCAUGGGGAUCAAACAGGAUUAGAUACCCUGGUAGUCCAUGCUGUAAACGAUGAGUGCUUGUUGUCGGUAUUGUAUCGGUGACGAAGUUAACGCGUUAAGCACUCCGCC
This 779-nucleotide ribosomal RNA is filed under the name uncultured bacterium. Its description in RNAcentral is "bacterial SSU rRNA". It matches the Rfam family "Bacterial small subunit ribosomal RNA", at positions 60 to 873 of the family's 1533-position model. The record is from RNAcentral.